UUAUCCCUGAAGUGUUUGUGAUGCAAGCUCACCGCGGCCUCACAAGCAUACUAACAGGAGACCGAGUCAAGCACUGGUGUGCGCGCCUGUACAGGCGUACCUGAAAGGGCUUGCAAGGUUUCCACCGUGGGAUUCAGGUCCUGCGGGGAAGUUUACACACGGCACUUCGGGGCUGCA
RNAcentral lists this non-coding RNA (177 nucleotides) under Deltaproteobacteria bacterium. RNAcentral describes it as "6S RNA". It matches the Rfam family "6S / SsrS RNA". Rfam says of the family: E. coli 6S RNA was the first non coding RNA to be sequenced, but its function was unknown until recently. It consists of 184 nucleotides that fold into an extended hairpin structure with a large single-stranded internal bulge. The record is from RNAcentral. Lineage: Bacteria; Pseudomonadati; Myxococcota; Myxococcia.